This 686-nucleotide ribosomal RNA is filed under the name Inocybe mixtilis. RNAcentral describes it as "eukaryotic LSU rRNA". It matches the Rfam family "Eukaryotic large subunit ribosomal RNA", at positions 1 to 653 of the family's 3401-position model. Lineage: Eukaryota; Fungi; Basidiomycota; Agaricomycetes; Agaricales; Inocybaceae. The record is from RNAcentral.
UUGACCUCAAAUCAGGUAGGACUACCCGCUGAACUUAAGCAUAUCAAUAAGCGGAGGAAAAGAAACUAACAAGGAUUCCCCUAGUAACUGCGAGUGAAGCGGGAAGAGCUCAAAUUUGAAAUCUGGCGGCUCUUUGACCGUCCGAGUUGUAAUCUAGAGAAGUGCUACCCGUGCUGGACUGUGUACAAGUCUCCUGGAAUGGGGCAUCGUAGAGGGUGAGAAUCCCGUCUUUGACACGGACUGCCAGUGCGCCCUGGGUGUGCUCUCGAAGAGUCGAGUUGUUUGGGAAUGCAGCUCAAAAUGGGUGGUAAAUGCCAUCUAAAGCUAAAUAUUGGCGAGAGACCGAUAGCGAACAAGUACCGUGAGGGAAAGAUGAAAAGAACUUUGGAAAGAGAGUUAAACAGUACGUGAAAUUGCUGAAAGGGAAACGCUUGGAGUCAGUCGCGUUGGCCAGAAAUCAGCCUUGCUCCUGCUUGGUGUACUUUCUGGUCUUUUACGGGUCAGCAUCAAUCUUGACCGCUGGACAAAGUCUUUGGGAAUGUGGCAUCUUUUGGAUGUGUUAUAGCCCAGGGUCGCAUACGGCGGCUGGGAUUGAGGAACUCAGCACGCCCGCAAGGGAUGGGUCCUUGGACCACAAAUUUUUUUCGUGCUUAGGAUGCUGGCAUAAUGGCUUCAAUCGACCCGUC